AUGAAUGAGCAUGACGCGGGUAGCAGCGGCACCAUGGCAAGUCACCAUAUUCAUGAGCAGGAAACGGGCGCCGUUGUAAGGUGUCGUCUUCACGAUGUGGUGUCACUUGCAGGGACUCAGUGCACUGCCACACAUUCAGAUGUACUUAAUGUUCAGCUUCAUUCUUCUAUAACAUUCGAUGUAGACGAUAUCCUCCGGCUGGAAAUGGAUGACAGGUGCAGCGACAUCCUGAGUACAACGUCCAUCGCUUCAUGCGGCGGUGAGCCCAACGGCCAUCUUCACGCUUUGGAUGCACAUGAAUACGUAUCAGGAGCAGGCCUUCUUGUUCUUGUGUAG
This 336-nucleotide ribosomal RNA is filed under the name Triticum aestivum (bread wheat). RNAcentral's name for it is "partial small subunit ribosomal RNA". Lineage: Eukaryota; Viridiplantae; Streptophyta; Magnoliopsida; Poales; Poaceae. The record is from RNAcentral.